GCGAAGCUGGAACCGGAGGAGGUGAGUAUGUCGGGUAGCUUGCUGGCGGAGGAGGCGAUUGAUGGUAUUCUACUGGUGGAGGUGGUGGCGGAGAUGACUGCUGGUAGUAAGGUGGUGGGUGAGAUUCAGCCGGUGGCGGAGGAGGUGGCGGAGAUGACUGUGGGUAGUAAGGAGGUGGGUAAAUCUCAGCCGGUGGUGGUGGCGGCGACGGAGAUGAGUAAACUGGCGGUGGUGGGGAGUAAACAGGUGGCGGCGGCGGUGGGGAGUAAACGGGUGGUGGCGGCGGUGGGGAGUAAACUGGUGAGGAGGUGGCGAAAAAACUGGUGGAGGAGGCGACGGGGGUGGAGGAGGUGGGGAGUAAACCGGUGGGGGAGGAGCAUGACGGGUCCCCGGUGAAACUUUCUCCGUAGGUGGUGGUGUUGGCUGGCGAGAAGGAGCCGGUGAAGGCUGUUGGACAGGGGAAGGUGGAGGCGGUGGUG
Molecule: long non-coding RNA, 479 nt
Filed under: Linum usitatissimum (flax)
Lineage: Eukaryota; Viridiplantae; Streptophyta; Magnoliopsida; Malpighiales; Linaceae
Description: long non-coding RNA (LUSI_LNC003338)
Source: RNAcentral